UGCCGAAAUUUUUCGGUAGAGUUUCUAUGUGAUAUUUUUAAUCAUACCGGUUAAGUAGAGUUAGUAGUCAAGUAGCGUCCACCUUUAGAGAAUAGUAGUAGUGUAGAAAGGUGGGUCGUUACACUCCACCUUCAAUCGGCCGGCGAGUUCAUCUACCACUCCACCUCCGGCCGAUCGAUCCUCUCCAUCUCGCCCAUCUGCAUCCCGUCACCCUCCUCCAUCCCGGCCUCAUCUUCUUACCGACGCGAACGCUGCCCAAUGCUAACUCCACCACCACCGACACACCAAGGAAAGGGGUUUUCUCCCUCUGGUCAUCCCCAUCGUGCAUCUCCUUCCUCUUCUCAUCUUCCUUCCACGAUAAGCCUUCAAGCUUCUAACAGCAGCUCCACCACAUCUCUUCCAUAUCCGCUCUUCGAUCUAUGAGUUCUUGGGCUUUCCCAGCUUCGUAUUCAAUCCGGACAGCUAUCUUCUUCAUCCAUCUUCGAUCCAGCAGCCUUCUCUUCUUCGCCAAGUCUGCAGCAAUUCCCUUCACCACCAGACAACUUCAUAUACACCUCACAGAAAUUGGGUUGUUUCUUUUAUCAUGGAUGUGUGUUGAUGUUUUUUUUAUUGAAUUCUUGUAUCAAACUUGAUCUUCUUUAAUUAGAUUGAACGCACUUGAUUUUAAUUGUUUCAUGCACACAACUUGUUUGAUGAAAUGUUCUAAUCUUCUAAUUCCUGCAUGUAACGUGUUCGGUAAAAUGUCUCUUUCAAUAGUUUGGUUCAAUUUGAUGCAUCUUAGUUUGCUUAACUCUUGCUUUGUAUUGAUCUUUCAAUUGUUAAGUUUUAUGUCUUCAUUUAAAUACAAUUAGGUUAAGUUAGUGUCUUCAUUUAAAUGCAGUUAGUUUUAUGUCUUCAUUUCUAUGUUUAGUGUGUAUUGUAUUUUAAGUUGUUACAUAUUGUUUCCUUAUAGCCAUAAUAUUCUAACUAAUUUGUAGAUGAGAAUGAGGUUAUCUAGAGACAAUCAAGUUAUCCAAGAAUGAUCCGUAAUUAUUUAAUGAGGUCAUUCUACUUUUCCAUAUUCUAUUGUGACUUAUAUUUCACUCGUUAGCAUCAUGCAGGAUACCAAGAGCAAAUGUUGCAUUAGCCACAACAACCAAGAGCAAAUGUUGCAUUCAAAAUCAUCUUUUAAUCUUUUGAUUGUCUCAACAAAAUUGGUUGGUUCGUUAAUUUGUACCAGCGAAGCAAUUUCUCUCAUAGAGUUUGAAGACAAGGAGGGUCGUGAUAGACAAUGUAAUAUAAAAAUUAGAUUACUUAUGGUAAGAUUUAAAAAUUUGUAUAGUUGUUUAUAGUUUGAUUAUUGGUCAAAUUUAUUUGGAUAAUGUAAAUAUUUAUUUAUUUUAAUGUUAAUUGUAUGAUACAUUUGGAAUUA
Zingiber officinale is the source of this 1411-nucleotide long non-coding RNA. RefSeq lists it as uncharacterized. The record is from RefSeq and is a predicted model, not a curated record. The transcript is spliced from 2 exons. NCBI's taxonomy places the organism in Eukaryota, Viridiplantae, Streptophyta, Magnoliopsida, Zingiberales, Zingiberaceae.